RNAcentral lists this ribosomal RNA (301 nucleotides) under uncultured bacterium. Its description in RNAcentral is "partial 16S ribosomal RNA". It matches the Rfam family "Bacterial small subunit ribosomal RNA", at positions 509 to 809 of the family's 1533-position model. The record is from RNAcentral.
CAGCCGCCGCGGUAAUACGAAGGGUGCAAGCGUUACUCGGAAUUACUGGGCGUAAAGCGUGCGUAGGUGGUGGUUUAAGUCCGUUGUGAAAGCCCUGGGCUCAACCUGGGAAUUGCAGUGGAUACUGGGUCACUAGAGUGUGGUAGAGGAUGGUGGAAUUCCCGGUGUAGCGGUGAAAUGCGUAGAGAUCGGGAGGAACAUCAGUGGCGAAGGCGGCCAUCUGGGACAACACUGACGCUGAGGCACGAAAGCGUGGGGAGCAAACAGGAUUAGAUACCCGUGUAGUCCCUGUCUCUUAUAA